RNAcentral lists this ribosomal RNA (445 nucleotides) under uncultured bacterium. Its description in RNAcentral is "bacterial SSU rRNA". It matches the Rfam family "Bacterial small subunit ribosomal RNA", at positions 338 to 795 of the family's 1533-position model. The record is from RNAcentral.
CCUACGGGACGCACCAGUGGGGAAUAUUGCACAAUGGGCGAAAGCCUGAUGCAGCGACGCCGCGUGAGGGAUGACGGCCUUCGGGUUGUAAACCUCUUUCAGCAGGGAAGAAGCGAAAGUGACGGUACCUGCAGAAGAAGCGCCGGCUAACUACGUGCCAGCAGCCGCGGUAAUACGUAGGGCGCAAGCGUUGUCCGGAAUUAUUGGGCGUAAAGAGCUCGUAGGCGGCUUGUCACGUCGGGUGUGAGAGCCCGGGGCUUAACCCCGGGUCUGCAUCCGAUACGGGCAGGCUAGAGUGUGGUAGGGGAGAUGGGAAUUCCUGGUGUAGCGGUGAAAUGCGCAGAUAUCAGGAGGAACACCGGUGGCGAAGGCGGAUCUCUGGGCCAUUACUGACGCUGAGGAGCGAAAGCGUGGGGAGCGAACAGGAUUAGAUACCCGUGUAGUC